UUUUACGGAGAGUUUGAUCCUGGCUCAGGACGAACGCUGGCGGCGUGCUUAACACAUGCAAGUCGAGCGGUAAGGCCUUUCGGGGUACACGAGCGGCGAACGGGUGAGUAACACGUGGGUGAUCUGCCCUGCACUCUGGGAUAAGCUUGGGAAACUGGGUCUAAUACCGGAUAUGACCACAUGCCGCAUGGUGUGUGGUGGAAAGAUUUAUCGGUGCAGGAUGGGCCCGCGGCCUAUCAGCUUGUUGGUGGGGUAAUGGCCUACCAAGGCGACGACGGGUAGCCGACCUGAGAGGGUGACCGGCCACACUGGGACUGAGA
This 320-nucleotide ribosomal RNA is filed under the name Rhodococcoides fascians. RNAcentral describes it as "bacterial SSU rRNA". It matches the Rfam family "Bacterial small subunit ribosomal RNA", at positions 1 to 324 of the family's 1533-position model. RNAcentral also lists the same sequence under 1 other name. The record is from RNAcentral. Lineage: Bacteria; Bacillati; Actinomycetota; Actinomycetes; Mycobacteriales; Nocardiaceae.